RNAcentral lists this ribosomal RNA (405 nucleotides) under uncultured bacterium. RNAcentral's name for it is "partial 16S ribosomal RNA". It matches the Rfam family "Bacterial small subunit ribosomal RNA", at positions 28 to 526 of the family's 1533-position model. The record is from RNAcentral.
GAUGAACGCUGGCGGCGUGCCUAACACAUGCAAGUCGAGCGGAGCGGGGACGGGUGAGUAACACGUGGAUAACCUCCUAUAAGACUGGGAUAACUUUGGGAAACCUGCGCUAACCCGGAUACUUAUCGAUGGAUCCUCGCUGCAUUAUCUAGUUGGUAAGGUAACGGCGUACCAAGGCAACGAUGCAUAGCCGACCUGAGAGGGUGAUCGGCCACACUGGAACUGAGACACGGUCCAGACUCCUACGGGAGGCAGCAGUGGGGAAUCUUCCGCAAUGGGCGAAAGCCUGACGGAGCAACGCCGCGUGAGUGAAGAAGGUCUUCGGAUCGUAAAGCUCUGUUAGUAGGGAGGCGGUACCGAAUGAGAAAGCCACGGCUAACUACGUGCCAGCAGCCGCGGUAAUAC